AUUUAGGAUUAAGAUUUGGUUAAAGUUUGAUUUAAGAUUAGGGUUUGAUUUAGGAUUUAGGAUUUGGUUUAGGAUUUAAGAUUUGGUUAAGAUUUGAUUUAGGAUUUAGGAUUUAAGAUUUGGUUAAGAUUUGAUUUAGGAUUUAGGAUUUAAGAUUUGGUUAAGAUUUGAUUUAGGAUUUAGGAUUUGGUUAGGAUUUGAUUUAGGGUUUACAGUUUGGUUAAGAUUUGAAUUUGAUUUAGGAUUAGGAUUUGAUAUAGGGUUUAGGAUUUGGUUUAGAAUUUAAGGUUUGAUUAUGAUUUGAUUUAGGGUUUAAAAUUUGAUUAGGAUUUGUUUUAGAGAUUAGGGUUUGAUUUAGGAUUUAUGGUUUUAUUUAGAGUUUAGGAUUUGGUCAGGAUUUGAUUUAGGAUUUGGUCAAGAUUUGAUUUAGGAUUUAGGACUUUAUUUGAGUUUAUUUAGGAUUUAAGAUUUAGUUAGUUUUUGGCUAAAUUUUUGAAUGAAGUCUAAUAGGAUUUCAACUAGGAUUAAAUUAAGAUUGAAUUGAGAUGUAUUUGAGAUAUAUUUUUAAUUAUUAUAAUAUUUCUUUAAGAUUUCUUAUUAUUUCUUUGUAAUUCCUUUGAGGUUUCUCUGAAUUUGAUUAAAGCUUGUUUAGUAUUGUUAGUAUUCUAUUAGAAUUAGGAUUUUGUUGUAGAAAUUUCCAUUCUACCUUUCAAUGCCACGUA
This 722-nucleotide long non-coding RNA is filed under the name Physcomitrium patens. RNAcentral describes it as "long non-coding RNA (PPAT_LNC000329)". The record is from RNAcentral. Lineage: Eukaryota; Viridiplantae; Streptophyta; Bryopsida; Funariales; Funariaceae.